This 481-nucleotide ribosomal RNA is filed under the name uncultured bacterium. RNAcentral describes it as "partial 16S ribosomal RNA". It matches the Rfam family "Bacterial small subunit ribosomal RNA", at positions 28 to 523 of the family's 1533-position model. The record is from RNAcentral.
GACGAACGCUGGCGGCGUGCUUAACACAUGCAAGUCGAGCGAUGAAGUUUCUUCGGAAAUGGAUUAGCGGCGAACGGGUGAGGAACACGUGAAGAAUCUGCCCUCCACUUUGGGAUAAAACAGGGAAACCUGUGCUAAUACCGAAUAUUGAAACAUAAGUGGCAUCACUGAGUUUUGAAAGAAUUUCGGUGGAGGAUGACUUCGCGGCCUAUCAGCUAGUUGAUGAGGUAAUGGCUCACCAAGGCAACGACGGGUAGCCGGCCUGAGAGGGCGACCGGCCACACUGGGACUAAGACACGGCGCCGACUCCCACGGGAGGCAGCAGUGGGGAAUAUUGGGCAAUGGAGGAAACUCUGACCCAGCGACGCCGCGUGCGGGAUGAAGGCCUUCGGGUUGUAAACCGCUGUCAGUAGGGAAGAAGCGAAAGUGACGGUACCUACAAAAGAAGCACCGGCUAACUAUGUGCCAGCAGCCGCAGUAA